This 969-nucleotide long non-coding RNA is filed under the name Homo sapiens (human). RNAcentral's name for it is "HSALNT0346236". The record is from RNAcentral. Lineage: Eukaryota; Metazoa; Chordata; Mammalia; Primates; Hominidae.
UGCUCACUCAGUACCAAGUUUUGGUUCAAUGAAUGAAAGCAGGAAUGACAGAUAAUUCUGGCAGUUUGUAAAAUAUCUGUAGACCAAGACUUAUCUCUGUGAAAGGCCUUGCUGACACUGGAAUGAGUCGACAUGUCUACCAACUCAGAGGGAUAAGGAAAAGGCACUAUACUGCUGGGUCCUGAUAAGAGAAGAAGGUGUCUACAAUGCUGGAGUGGACAGCAGGCUGGAGGGAGAAUCAUUUUGAGAAAGCCCAUGUAUGCGGCAGGUGCAAGUCUCCCAGGUUUGCGGCCUGAGCUCGGCGGGCUGCUGGGUGCAGGGCCCUGGAGACCUCUGCUGGCUAUCUUUGCCCCCAGGGCUGAAUCCCUGACAACUUGAGAAGUGACAAACUGGUUGAAUUAAUUAAGUAGAUUCCAUAUCAACAUAAUUUUACCAGAAACAACAAGAGGAAUCAUCAAAGACCCUUCAGCAGAGCUGGCUGCUCCCAGUCCAUCCUCUUCAUCACACUUGGGCCCCCAAACCAUGAAAAGAAGUUUUCUCAAAAGAUGUGCAAAAGCUACUCACCAUAGCAAAGACAUGGAAUCAACCUAAGUGCCCAUCAACAGUGGACUGGAUAAAGAAAACAUGGUAUCUAUACACUAUGGAAUACUACACAGCCAUAAAAAAAAUAAUGAAAUCAUGUUCUUUGCAGCAACGUGGAUAGACCUGGGGGCCAUUAUCCUGAGAAUCAGUGCAGGAAUAGAAAACCAAAUAUUGCAUGUCAUCACUUAUAAGUGGGAGCUAAACAUGGGGUACACAUGGAAAUAAAGAUGGCAAGAAUUGACACUGGGGACUACUGGGGGGCGGGGCAAGGGCUGAAAAACUAACUAUUGGGUACAAUGCUCACUACCUGGGUGACAGGAUCAACCGUACCCCCAAACCUCAGCAUCGUGCAAUAUAUCUAUGUAACAAACCUGCACAUGUACCCCC